GACGAACGCUGGCGGCGUGCUUAACACAUGCAAGUCGAACGAUGAAGCCUUUCGGGGNGGAUUAGUGGCGAACGGGUGAGUAACACGUGGGCAAUCUGCCCUGUACUUUGGGAUAAGCCCUUGGAAAACGGGGUCUAAUACCGGAUAUGACUGGCCUUCGCAUGGGGGUUGGUUGGAAAGUUCUGGCGGUACAGGAUGAGCCCGCGGCCUAUCAGCUUGUUGGUGGGGUAA
RNAcentral lists this ribosomal RNA (231 nucleotides) under uncultured bacterium. Its description in RNAcentral is "partial 16S ribosomal RNA". It matches the Rfam family "Bacterial small subunit ribosomal RNA", at positions 28 to 260 of the family's 1533-position model. The record is from RNAcentral.